CCUACGGGAGGCAGCAGUGGGGAAUAUUGGACAAUGGGGGGAACCCUGAUCCAGCCAUGCCGCGUGUGUGAAGAAGGCCCUCGGGUUGUAAAGCACUUUCAGUGAGGAAGAACGCCUGGUGGUUAAUACCCAUCAGGAAAGACAUCACUCACAGAAGAAGCACCGGCUAACUCCGUGCCAGCAGCCGCGGUAAUACGGAGGGUGCGAGCGUUAAUCGGAAUUACUGGGCGUAAAGCGCGCGUAGGUGGCUUGAUAAGCCGGUUGUGAAAGCCCCGGGCUCAACCUGGGAACGGCAUCCGGAACUGUCAAGCUAGAGUGCAGGAGAGGAAGGUAGAAUUCCCGGUGUAGCGGUGAAAUGCGUAGAGAUCGGGAGGAAUACCAGUGGCGAAGGCGGCCUUCUGGAAUGACACUGACACUGAGGUGCGAAAGCGUGGGUAGCAAACAGGAUUAGAUACCCGAGUAGUC
This 465-nucleotide ribosomal RNA is filed under the name Vreelandella stevensii. Its description in RNAcentral is "partial 16S ribosomal RNA". It matches the Rfam family "Bacterial small subunit ribosomal RNA", at positions 338 to 795 of the family's 1533-position model. Lineage: Bacteria; Pseudomonadati; Pseudomonadota; Gammaproteobacteria; Oceanospirillales; Halomonadaceae. The record is from RNAcentral.